CUUCCCGUAGCCAUUUUGCAAGUGCUGACUGUUGGGUGCCUGUUCUGGUUAGUCCCUGUCCUGCUUUUCCACAUGCCUCUCCUUCCACCUCUGCAGCUCACAAAAAGCCUCACCAGAGACAUGAACUCUCAUUUGCUUCCUUGGAGUGGGAUCCCAACCAGGGCAUUGUACAGCUAAUGGGACAUCUCUUCAAGUAGUGUCAUUAUUCCUGUCGUCAGCGGGGCUGCAUGACAAUCCACAGAAGACUCUGAGAACAGUCACCUGGUGUCCCCUGAUGUCGAUGGCGGAGGAUUUGUCCGUGACCCACAAACUUUCACUGUCACAAACGGAGUAUUCCCCCCGGUGGCCCCUGUGCUCUGCAUACCUCUUCCGCCGGGAGGUUCUGUUCACCACCACGGAAUUCCCGAUGUAAUCCUCCAUGAGGUACAGGGGCGGCGGCUCCAGCGGCGUGUUGUCACUCAGAAGGACUCGGGGAGAAUUGUAGCGUCUCUGCUGCCUCAAGAGAUCUAAAACUUGUUUUUUAAAAUGUCUGCCUGAAUGAGUUUAAUAAUAAGAGAAUUUAUCGAAUCUUCUGGCAAACUCCUUUGAUCCAUGUUGGAAGACUGGAUGCCACGAAGGAAAGCCUUGAAUUUGAUUUUCCUGCUCUGCAAACACAUCUGCCAUGUGUCAGAGACCUCUGGGAUGAAGGCACAGAGUCACAGACCGUGGGACAGAUGGAGUUGGGAGGAUCCUCAGGACAUUAUGUAGGCCAAUCUCACUGCUCACAGGAGUAUCAGGGCAGCUUGCAGAGAGCUCUGCCUACUCAGAUCUGGAACAUCUACAUGGAUGGAGACUCCACAGCCUCUAGACAAGCCAUUCCAGUGUUCAACACCCUUAAACUUCGCAAAAAUAUAUUUCAUGUAUCAGCAGUGUUUCCUAUAUUUCAGUUUUUUCCCAUUGCCUUCUGUCCUAUCAUGGACACACCUGAGUAGAGCCUGGCUCCAUCUUUAUUAAUCCCUUCUGUGAGAUAUCUCUGCACUUCAAUAAAAUCCCCCUGGAACUUCUCUUCUGCAGCAUGAACAGCCCCAGCUCUAUCAGCCUCUCGAGGUACAGUUGUCCUAAUCCUUAAUAAUUUUCAUGGAUUUACUUCUGUGCUAAGGAGCCCAGAACUGGACACAGCACUCCAGAUGUGCAUCACCAGUGCUGAGAUAAGGGGAAGGAUCCCCUCCCUCCUGAACAGAAAAUUUUCCACUUAAAAAAAAAAUCACCAUUUUCUGCUUAGGGGGUGAACCAUUUUCUGUUUCAGAAGGCAAAGGAAAAAAAGAAGAAAAAAAUCUUUAGCUGAAGAACGUUCUAUCCACUCUAAACAAAACUCCUUUUUGCAAGAUUGAGUCCCCACUUUGCAGUUUGGAACAGCAGCAGUAUCUGAGCUACCCUCUGUGGAUGUGUGAGCUGUCCUUUUAUGGACAAGAAAUGUGUUUUCUCCAUUCUCAGUUUGUCACAGUGUGAGUUCACCUAAAUCUAGACUGUUGCCUGCAGUAAUGUUUUGCUUUUGAGGGGGGGAAAUAUUGAAGAUGUUCAGUUACCAUACAAUUACUGUCAUACCCGAAUAAAUACUAACUUAAUGUAGAUGGAUCUCAGUGCCCAGACCUUUCUGUCUGUGCAGCUGCUGUGCAAUUUCACCUUCCCUCAGCACAGGAUUUUCUUUUAAAAACAGUAAAAAUAUUAUUAAACAGAUGUCCUUGAGCAGAUUUCUUGCAGCGCCCAGAAUCCACACAUGAGAUGACACACAAGCCCACAGGAUGGUGAGCAAAGCUGUGAUAUGGCUCAGCUCAAAAGCCAGAAGCACUAUUCAUGCCAACAUGCAGCUGCAUGCAAUCCCUGCUCUGCUCAGUCUCAAAAUUAAGUGGCACUAGCAAAACACACAAGUUGGAGUGUGAUGAGGUGGGAAAAGUAAGGCUGGAGUUCCUGCAGGCUCUCCUCAAUGUCAUGCUGCACACAGAAAGGAAGGGCUGGGGACCUGAGAGCUGGAGAAGCUAAAAUGUGCUGUUUUUCUUCUCUGUGGAGGAACCCCAUUAAUGGAAAAAUGUUGAAAAGUGUUUUCCUGAACUUCAUGUGAAACGUCUUACAGAUUUGGUGGGAAAGAUGCUAACUUUGAAAUUCAACCUGUAGUUUGAUUUAUUUUGCAGAUUAUUUGCUGCAAAAGUAAAAAGGUUUUAGAACAAAUAUUUAUAUUUUUCUGGGUGCAAAACUUUGGCAAAACCACAAAGAUUGGUGAGUUAAUAGUUUUCAGGGAGUUCCUCCAACCUAGGAGGUUCAUAAAGUGCUGUUCAGAAGUUGCAGUCCAUGACUAAAAAUUGUCAGGCUGUCGAUGAAGUCCAGCACCUCAGAGUAUGUCUAAAGCACUAUUUUAGAUAGGAGAAAUGAGUGUUAUUGGAAAACUCCAGCUGGUUUAUGGCCUUGUCUGUAAUGUGGUUAUAAGACACAUUAAAAGUAUAUUUGUUUGCAGGUCUGGGGAGUAUUGCAUUUGAUGAAUGUCUCUUUGCCCAAAAUGGAAUGUUGUGCCUGUCUGAACUGCAGAUAAUGUGAGAUUUAUUUGGCAUGUGUGUGUUAAAUCUGUAAAAAGGAGAGGAAAAUGUAAAACAUUAAAAUGUCUAUCUUUUCAUAUUUUCAAAGCAAAUAAUUCUGGUGUUUCUAGCCAUGCCUCCAGAAGUUCUACAAUGCAAAUCACAAAGCAGAACAAAUGCUUUCUCAGUGCAGACCAGUGAGUAAAUUAUCUAUAGAGAGGACUCAGAUUGGGGGCAUGAUUUCAGCAUAUGUGUCCUGUCUGAGGGAAUACUGACUCAAAUACCAGGUUCCUGGAGGGCCCAGGAUUCUGUGAACCUCAGCAGAAGCUACUUCAGCACAAGCAGCUCUUUCUCUGGCCUUUUGGAGAAUGGUCUAAAAAUCUCACAAGAAUUAAAUCCUUCAUGUGACCUUUUCUGGUCUUUCACUGGGAUUUUUUUGUUUUGUUUUGUUUUGUUUUGUUUUUCAAUUCAGAUUGUUCAUUACAAGUGGAAAGAUUUUUCCCAAGUGAAAUUAUUUUCCUUGGUUAGGUGAUGCUAGUGAGAUAUUUUUGUUGUUCUUCAUGGUUCUUCUUGGAAUUUUCCACAUGUGAAUUCCUGACAAAAGUUCAUUUUGGCUGUGUUUGUGGCUGGUUUGCACUAAGCAAAUUGGACUUGGAGACUGCUGACAUUUGUGGCUCAGAGAGGAAAAGCAAAGAACACAGACAACAAAAGUUCAUGCAUUUCAAAUCUGAUUAUCUCCCAAAUGUGGCUUUACUCUAUUUUUUUGGUUUGUAUUCCUGCCUAUCGCUGCAGUUUUAGCAGGCUAUUAAUUCUGUCUGAGCUAGGUGGCUCAAGGUCUACAUUUAAGAAGUUAAUAAACUUACCUCUUCCUUCCAUUGAUAAAUUCAAUCCCUAAUAAACUCUGGCAAACCAUUUGCCUCCCUUUCCAGACUCACCACUUUAUGUAGUAGUGAAAAAUUGUGUUUAGUUUUGUUUGUGGUGAUUUAUUCUGGUCAGUUUCUGAACAUUGCACACAGGGGAAGAGUGAAACAUCAUUUAAAAUGUUCUGCAGAAAGCAUGAAAGCCUAGUACUGUGAGAGACUGCCCAAGUAUUUACUUGUAAGCCAUUGCUAAGAGAAAGUGGAAUAGAAGGAAAAGUGACUGGUGAUUUUUACAUUUAGAAUUGUAAUACCCCACGUUUUAUGUAAGCCAGCUUGAAGUGUUUGUCACUUCCUUAAAAAUUUAGGAGCAGCUUCAGUUCUUCAGACCAAGCAACUAAUAAUCCUUUGUGGUGGCUGACAGCUUUUCCAAGCUUUUACUAAAGAGGAAAGCAUGAUUAUUGUCACUGUUUGCUGAACACUGCUUCCACAACCUCCCAAGUCAUGGACUGCCCUGUUGAUUUCCCUCUUCCUAAUAACUAUGUUGGGAAGAAAUUCAGCCCUCUUCCUCUGUGCUUUGGGGGACAUGGGGAAGAUACAGAACAAGAAAAGAAUUCUGAAUGUUCAAGAAAGUGGGAAUGUGACAUAACUGUCUGAAAAUUUGCACUGUAUUUCAGAAUAGUAAUCAACAGUUUGUACAAGAUGGAUUUAUGAAGAUAGGUUGCUGGAGAGUGCUAAAUGUCCCAGCAGACGCCCUCCUGAAUGCUUUUACUUCUCAGGAUAUGGAAAUUUCAACAGAGACAGAUUGAAACUAAAGCUUUCACAAGAGCCAGGCCCUUUGAGAAGCUGAAGAAUUCAGAGACAAAACCAAGUGAUGCCAGCCCAAAGUGUUAACCCUACCAUCCCGAGGGACAACCAAACUGGAAGUUGGAGUGAGGGGAUUGGAAACUAAUCCAUUCCGCUGGCACACUGGCAGUGGAGUGCAGCUACAGAUCUGAGGGGGAGCCCACCAAGGUUUCUUCAUCUCUGCAGCAGCUCACAGAUGUAUUAAUUAAUUUACUUAAGGCCAUUUAUAAAAGAGAAGACACAUCUGAGCACUGAGCCCCAGUAACCUCCAGUGAAAGGUGUAUACUUAAUUUCUUAUGGAAAUGGA
Molecule: long non-coding RNA, 4556 nt
Organism: Zonotrichia leucophrys gambelii
Lineage: Eukaryota; Metazoa; Chordata; Aves; Passeriformes; Passerellidae
Exons: 5
Source: RefSeq, a predicted model, not a curated record